AUUUAAUAGCUGCAAUAAUUAUGAUUGUACUAAGGUAGCAUAAUCAUUAGUUUACUAAUUAUAAACUUGUAUGAACGAUUUGAUGAAAUAAAAACUGUUUCAUUUUAAAAUAAUAAAAUUUUUCUUUAAGUAAAAAAACUUAAAUAAAUUUAAAAGACGAGAAGACCCUUUAGAAUUUUAUAUUUAAUUGGGGUGAUUAUAAAAUUUAAAAAACUUUUAUAUAAAUAAACAAUAAUUUUUGAACAAAACAUAUUUAAUAAAAAAUAUAUACUAAAUUACCUAAGGGAUAACAGCAUAA
RNAcentral lists this ribosomal RNA (298 nucleotides) under Cardiochiles sp. 9 NM-2007. RNAcentral describes it as "partial 16S ribosomal RNA". Lineage: Eukaryota; Metazoa; Arthropoda; Insecta; Hymenoptera; Braconidae. The record is from RNAcentral.